GAUGAACGCUGGCGGCGUGCCUAAUACAUGCAAGUCGAGCGAACAGACGAGGAGCUUGCUCCUCUGACGUUAGCGGCGGACGGGUGAGUAACACGUGGAUAACCUACCUAUAAGACUGGGAUAACUUCGGGACACCGGAGCUAAUACCGGAUAAUAUAUUUAACCGUAUGGUUCAAUAGUGAAUGACGGUUUUGCUGUCACUUAUAGAUGGAUCCGCGCCGCGUUAGCUAGUUGGUAUGGUAACGGCUUACCAAGGCGACGUGGCGUAGCCGACCUGAGAGGGGGAGCGGCCCCACGAGAACGGAGACACGGUCCAGACUCCUACGGGAGGCAGCAGUAGGGAAUCUGCCGCAAUGGGCGAAAGCCUGACGGAGCAACGCCGCGUGAGUGAUGAAGGUCUUCGGAUCGUAAAACUCUGUUAUUAGGGAAGAACAAAUGUGUAAGUAACUAUGCACGUCUUGACGGUACCUAAUCAGAAAGCCACGGCUAACUACGUG
This 497-nucleotide ribosomal RNA is filed under the name uncultured bacterium. RNAcentral's name for it is "partial 16S ribosomal RNA". It matches the Rfam family "Bacterial small subunit ribosomal RNA", at positions 28 to 507 of the family's 1533-position model. The record is from RNAcentral.